This 496-nucleotide ribosomal RNA is filed under the name uncultured bacterium. RNAcentral describes it as "partial 16S ribosomal RNA". It matches the Rfam family "Bacterial small subunit ribosomal RNA", at positions 28 to 523 of the family's 1533-position model. The record is from RNAcentral.
GAUGAACGCUAGCGGCAGGCCUAACACAUGCAAGUCGAGGGGUAGAAGGAGCUUGCUCCUUUGAGACCGGCGCACGGGUGCGUAACGCGUAUGCAAUCUACCUUUUACAGAGGGAUAGCCCAGAGAAAUUUGGAUUAAUACCUCAUAGUAUAUAUCAUUCGCAUGUUUGGUAUAUUAAAGUUCCAACGGUAAAAGAUGAGCAUGCGUCCCAUUAGUUAGUUGGUAAGGUAACGGCUUACCAAGACGAUGAUGGGUAGGGGUCCUGAGAGGGAGAUCCCCCACACUGGUACUGAGACACGGACCAGACUCCUACGGGAGGCAGCAGUGAGGAAUAUUGGUCAAUGGACGCAAGUCUGAACCAGCCAUGCCGCGUGCAGGAAGACGGUCCUAUGGAUUGUAAACUGCUUUUGUACGGGAAGAAACACUCCUACGUGUAGGAGCCUGACGGUACCGUAAGAAUAAGGAUCGGCUAACUCCGUGCCAGCCGCCGCCGUAA